RNAcentral lists this ribosomal RNA (485 nucleotides) under uncultured bacterium. RNAcentral's name for it is "partial 16S ribosomal RNA". It matches the Rfam family "Bacterial small subunit ribosomal RNA", at positions 28 to 507 of the family's 1533-position model. The record is from RNAcentral.
GACGAACGCUGGCGGCGUGCUUAACACAUGCAAGUCGAACGGGAUCCAAAGGCUUUUUGUUUUUGGUGAGAGUGGCGAACGGGUGAGUAACACGUGAGUAACCUGCCCCCUUCUUUUGGAUAACCGCAUGAAAGUGUGGCUAAUACAGGAUAUUCCAGGCUGGUCGCAUGAUUGGUUUGGGAAAUGGUUUGGUCUGGUGGGGGAUGGGCUCGCGGCCUAUCAGCUUGUUGGUGGGGUGAUGGCCUACCAAGGCGGUGACGGGUAGCCGGCCUGAGAGGGUGGCGGGCAAACUGGGGAUGGGGAUAGGGCCCGGAUUCUUACGGGAGGCGGAAGUGGGGGUUUUUGCCCAAGGGGCGAAGGCCGAUGCCACCACCGCCGGGGGGGGGAUGAGGGCCUUGGGUUUUAAAACUUCUUUGGCGGGGUUGAAAGGCCAGGUUUGGGGGGUGUUGGAUUGAACUGGUAAAGAAGUACCGGCUAACUACGUG